AUACGGAGGAUCCGAGCGUUAUCCGGAUUUAUUGGGUUUAAAGGGUGCGCAGGCGGCCAUUUAAGUCAGCGGUUAAAUCGUGGGGCUCAACCCCAUUCUGCCGUUGAUACUGGGUGGCUUGAUUGCGGUCGAGGUUGGCGGAAUUCGUCGUGUAGCGGUGAAAUGCAUAGAUAUGACGAAGAACACCGAUUGCGUAGGCAGCUGACCAGACCGCAAAUGACGCUCAUGCACGAAAGUGCGGGGAUCGAACAGGAUUAGAUACCCUGGUAGUCCGCACAGUAAACGAUGAAUACUUGUUUUCGGCGAUAUAAUGUCGGAGGCAAAGCGAAAGCGAUAAGUAUUCCACCUGGGGAGUACGCCGGCAACGGUGAAACUCAAAUGAAUUGACGGGG
This 392-nucleotide ribosomal RNA is filed under the name uncultured bacterium. RNAcentral describes it as "partial 16S ribosomal RNA". It matches the Rfam family "Bacterial small subunit ribosomal RNA", at positions 523 to 918 of the family's 1533-position model. The record is from RNAcentral.